AAANUGGGAUUAGAUACCCCACUAUANGGAACAAAAAUAAUNNUNGAAGCACUAAAGCCCUCAGGNUAAAANUUAAUGGGCAUGGCGGCAGACCNGACUUCUCAGGGGAAUUUACCUGGUAAUUGAUAGCCCACAUGGUGCCCCUCACAACCUACAUCGUUUGUAUACCGCCNUCUACAGGUACCGUCUAAGACUGUGCCGACUUUCCACCGGAAGAAAGACAGGUCAUGGCGCAGCCUAUGGUUGUGUGCAAGGUGAGUUACAAUCACUAAUUGUGUCGAAUGUGGGAGUCAAACAAUCCCACGGAAGUANGACUUGAAAGUAAAGCAUCAGGGAANUAUAUCUUGAAUAGUCCACUGAUCUGUGCACACNCCNCCCNUCA
Molecule: ribosomal RNA, 382 nt
Filed under: Pythia scarabaeus
Lineage: Eukaryota; Metazoa; Mollusca; Gastropoda; Ellobiida; Ellobiidae
Description: partial 12S ribosomal RNA
Source: RNAcentral